GGGCGGACGUCGCCCUGAGCUGCGCGUGCCGGAGCGAGGACCCCGGGAGCAGCCAGUGCCCCCAGCGCCCGGGCCCGCCCGCCCCGCGCCUUCCUGCCGCCGGGAGCUGCGGCUGCAGCGCCCUGCGCUUAGCAGCGGGUGCGCGCGCAUCCUAAGGGCGGCACCGCGACUCAGCGGCCCGGCCGCCCGGAACCGGCCCUCCGCCUCCUCCCUGUGCUUGGCGCGAAGGGCUGCCCAUGCCGGCUCCUCCGCUCGUCCCCGGUGUGUGUGGUGUGUGUGUAACACCGCCGGGAGCCGGGCCGACCGCGGGGCUGCAGACCAGACCUGCUACGGGCGACCUGCACGGGGCGCCCCAGCCUUCCCCCGCUCCUCGCCAUGCGUGUGUGCACAUGCAUGUGUGUGCUCAUGUAUGUGUCUGCGUGUGUAUAUGCAUGUGUAUAUAGACUUGUGUGCUUGUACUUGCAUGUAAAGAUAUGUGUUUAUGUAUGUGUGUAUAUGUGUUUGUGUGUUUAUGUGCACGUGUAUAUGUUUAUUGUGUGCAUGCGGGUGCAUGUGUAUGCGUGUAUAUUUGUAUGACUGUGUAUGUAUUGUGUGUUUAGGUGUGUGUGUAAGUGUAUGGCUGUGUAUGUGGGUGUGUGUUUAGGUGUGUAUGUGUGGCUGUGUGUAGGUGUGUAGGUGUGUGACUGUAUGUGUGUAGGUGUGUGUAUAGGUGUAUGGCUGUAUAUGUAGGUGUGUUUAGGUGUGUCACUGUGUAUGUGUGCCUGUGUGUUUAGGUGUGUGUAUAGGUGUGUGGCUGUGUUUAGGUGUGUGUUUGGAUGUGUGGCUGUGUGUGUGUGUUUAGGUGUGUGUAUAGGUGUAUGGCUGUGUGUAGGUGUGUGACUGUGUGUAGGUGUGUGUGCAUCUCUAUCAGUGUGCCCCUCUGGCUGCAGCGUGGGGGAACUUUGGGGUCCUCUGACUGCACAGCCCACGCCACGCGGUCUGGCACCUUCACCGCGCUCUGGCCACGCUGCAGUGUCUGCUGCGGCCACGCGGAGCCCAGGCCCCCUCGGGCUCUAACUCACCCGCGGCCUCUGAAAACGCCUGCUCUGAAGGCACCGUGCGGCAGGCCGGGGGGGCUGCAGAGGCCAGCUCGAGGGCUCCGGGCGGACACAGCAUCCUUCCCCCGCCCCCACUUGACAAGUGUCCAAGGGAAUGACCCCCGCGUGCACACAGUGGGCCUGCAGGUCCCACAUUCACACACACACACACGUUCGCCCACAGCUCCGUCUCGGGCCCUGGUUGCCAGCGGACCCAGCCCCCGAGGCUCACGGCUCCAUCGCAUCUCUGUC
This is a non-coding RNA of Oryctolagus cuniculus (rabbit), 1328 nucleotides long. Lineage: Eukaryota; Metazoa; Chordata; Mammalia; Lagomorpha; Leporidae. The record is from RefSeq and is a predicted model, not a curated record.